This 364-nucleotide long non-coding RNA is filed under the name Mytilus galloprovincialis (Mediterranean mussel). Lineage: Eukaryota; Metazoa; Mollusca; Bivalvia; Mytilida; Mytilidae. The record is from RNAcentral.
AAAACUGUAUUUUAUAAAGCUGAAAUAUAGCUGAAAAGAUUGAACUAAAAAAAAUAGGUCACCGAUAAGGAAAAUAGAAUAGUGUGCCUUAAAAUCCAAGUUUUGGCUGGAAAAUGUUGAAAUUUGAUGAAAUUUCCUUUUGAGCCUGUCACAGAUACACAGUCAUAAUAACGAUAAUUUUUAGUAACAUAACCACAAUGAUUUAACAUUUCUAAUCAAUCAAAAUAUUUAAAAAAAAAUAACAUCGAAUACGACACAUACUAAUCGUGUGCAUUGUAAUUCAUGCGUGAAAUUAUGCGCAGUCGAAUAGUCCCGAUACAUAUUAAGAGUGUCACAUAUAUCAUUAUUUAAAAAGAAAACAAAG